AUUGAACGCUGGCGGCAUGCCUUACACAUGCAAGUCGAACGGUAACAGGUCUUCGGAUGCUGACGAGUGGCGAACGGGUGAGUAAUACAUCGGAACGUGCCCGAUCGUGGGGGAUAACGAAGCGAAAGCUUUGCUAAUACCGCAUAAGAUCUAAGGAUGAAAGCAGGGGACCGCAAGGCCUUGCGCGAACGGAGCGGCCGAUGGCAGAUUAGGUAGUUGGUGGGAUAAAAGCUUACCAAGCCGACGAGCUGUAGCUGGUCUGAGAGGACGACCAGCCAAACUGGGACUGAGCAACGGCCCAGACUCCUACGGGAGGCAGCAGUGGGAGAUUUUGGACAAUGGGCGAAAGCCUGAUCCAGCCAUGCCGCGUGCAGGAUGAAGGCCUUCGGGUUGUAAACUGCUUUUGUACGGAACGAAAAGACUCUGGUUAAUACCUGGGGUCCAUGACGGUACCGUAAGAAUAAGCACCGGCUAACUACGUGCCAGCAGCCGCCGUAA
This 498-nucleotide ribosomal RNA is filed under the name uncultured bacterium. RNAcentral describes it as "partial 16S ribosomal RNA". It matches the Rfam family "Bacterial small subunit ribosomal RNA", at positions 30 to 523 of the family's 1533-position model. The record is from RNAcentral.